CGGGACACGUGGUAUCCUGUCUGAAUAUGGGGGGACCAUCCUCCAAGGCUAAAUACUCCUGACUGACCGAUAGUGAACCAGUACCGUGAGGGAAAGGCGAAAAGAACCCCGGCGAGGGGAGUGAAAAAGAACCUGAAACCGUGUACGUACAAGCAGUGGGAGCACAGAGCAAUCUGUGUGACUGCGUACCUUUUGUAUAAUGGGUCAGCGACUUAUAUUCUGUAGCAAGGUUAACCGAAUAGGGGAGCCGAAGGGAAACCGAGUCUUAACUGGGCGUUAAGUUGCAGGGUAUAGACCCGAAACCCGGUGAUCUAGCCAUGGGCAGGUUGAAGGUUGGGUAACACUAACUGGAGGACCGAACCGACUAAUGUUGAAAAAUUAGCGGAUGACUUGUGGCUGGGGGUGAAAGGCCAAUCAAACCGGGAGAUAGCUGGUUCUCCCCGAAAGCUAUUUAGGUAGCGCCUCGUGAAUUCAUCUCCGGGGGUAGAGCACUGUUUCGGCAAGGGGGUCAUCCCGACUUACCAACCCGAUGCAAACUGCGAAUACCGGAGAAUGUUAUCACGGGAGACACACGGCGGGUGCUAACGUCCGUCGUGAAGAGGGAAACAACCCAGACCGCCAGCUAAGGUCCCAAAGUCAUGGUUAAGUGGGAAACGAUGUGGGAAGGCCCAGACAGCCAGGAUGUUGGCUUAGAAGCAGCCAUCAUUUAAAGAAAGCGUAAUAGCUCACUGGUCGAGUCGGCCUGCGCGGAAGAUGUAACGGGGCUAAACCAUGCACCGAAGCUGCGGCAGCGACACUGUGUGUUGUUGGGUAGGGGAGCGUUCUGUAAGCCUGUGAAGGUGUGCUGUGAGGCAUGCUGGAGGUAUCAGAAGUGCGAAUGCUGACAUAAGUAACGAUAAAGCGGGUGAAAAGCCCGCUCGCCGGAAGACCAAGGGUUCCUGUCCAACGUUAAUCGGGGCAGGGUGAGUCGACCCCUAAGGCGAGGCCGAAAGGCGUAGUCGAUGGGAAACAGGUUAAUAUUCCUGUACUUGGUGUUACUGCGAAGGGGGGACGGAGAAGGCUAUGUUGGCCGGGCGACGGUUGUCCCGGUUUAAGCGUGUAGGCUGGUUUUCCAGGCAAAUCCGGAAAAUCAAGGCUGAGGCGUGAUGACGAGGCACUACGGUGCUGAAGCAACAAAUGCCCUGCUUCCAGGAAAAGCCUCUAAGCAUCAGGUAACAUCAAAUCGUACCCCAAACCGACACAGGUGGUCAGGUAGAGAAUACCAAGGCGCUUGAGAGAACUCGGGUGAAGGAACUAGGCAAAAUGGUGCCGUAACUUCGGGAGAAGGCACGCUGAUAUGUAGGUGAAGUCCCUCGCGGAUGGAGCUGAAAUCAGUCGAAGAUACCAGCUGGCUGCAACUGUUUAUUAAAAACACAGCACUGUGCAAACACGAAAGUGGACGUAUACGGUGUGACGCCUGCCCGGUGCCGGAAGGUUAAUUGAUGGGGUCAGCGCAAGCGAAGCUCUUGAUCGAAGCCCCGGUAAACGGCGGCCGUAACUAUAACGGUCCUAAGGUAGCGAAAUUCCUUGUCGGGUAAGUUCCGACCUGCACGAAUGGCGUAAUGAUGGCCAGGCUGUCUCCACCCGAGACUCAGUGAAAUUGAACUCGCUGUGAAGAUGCAGUGUACCCGCGGCAAGACGGAAAGACCCCGUGAACCUUUACUAUAGCUUGACACUGAACAUUGAGCCUUGAUGUGUAGGAUAGGUGGGAGGCUUUGAAGUGUGGACGCCAGUCUGCAUGGAGCCGACCUUGAAAUACCACCCUUUAAUGUUUGAUGUUCUAACGUGGAC
Molecule: ribosomal RNA, 1830 nt
Filed under: Escherichia coli
Lineage: Bacteria; Pseudomonadati; Pseudomonadota; Gammaproteobacteria; Enterobacterales; Enterobacteriaceae
Description: partial 23S ribosomal RNA
Rfam family: Bacterial large subunit ribosomal RNA
Source: RNAcentral